GACGAACGCUGGCGGCGUGCUUAACACAUGCAAGUCGAACGGAAAGGCCCUGCUUUUGUGGGGUGCUCGAGUGGCGAACGGGUGAGUAACACGUGAGUAACCUGCCCUUGACUUUGGGAUAACUUCAGGAAACUGGGGCUAAUACCGGAUAGGAGCUCCUGCUGCAUGGUGGGGGUUGGAAAGUUUCGGCGGUUGGGGAUGGACUCGCGGCUUAUCAGCUUGUUGGUGGGGUAGUGGCUUACCAAGGCUUUGACGGGUAGCCGGCCUGAGAGGGUGACCGGCCACAUUGGGACUGAGGUACGGCCCAGACUCCUACGGGAGGCAGCAGUGGGGAAUAUUGCACAAUGGGCGGAAGCCUGAUGCAGCAACGCCGCGUGCGGGAUGACGGCCUUCGGGUUGUAAACCUCGUGCGCCUGUGACGAAGCGUGAGUGACGGUAAUGGGUAAAGAAGCACCGGCUAACUACGUG
RNAcentral lists this ribosomal RNA (468 nucleotides) under uncultured bacterium. Its description in RNAcentral is "partial 16S ribosomal RNA". It matches the Rfam family "Bacterial small subunit ribosomal RNA", at positions 28 to 507 of the family's 1533-position model. The record is from RNAcentral.